CUAGAUUGGAGACCCUCUGUGCCCAAGGAAACUGGUCAAAAUGUGGUGUUGAGACUCACCCUCUAACAACGGCAGGUCUAAUAAGUUCAAAGACUCCCUCUUGCUACAGUCUGUGAGGAGGAAGAGUCGGGAAGUCAGUGAGUGCCUGAAGGACUGCAUCGACACUGCAGGCUGGGGCGUGCUCUAGGAUCCACGUGAGGAUGACAUAGACUGCAUCAUAGACUGCAUCAUAGACUGCAUCACUGAGAUCACUGAUUAUGUAAAUAUGUGAACCAUAAUUCCAACAGCAAGCCCUGGAUCACCACUGACCUGAAUACUAAAUGAAAGGGGGGGUCGUCAACUGCUCAUAAUUACAUACAUAAUUUCAUUAGGGAUUCAUAAAGUAUUCUGAUACUUAUAACCUCCCCAAUCCCAUCCUUCUGUCUAAACCCCCUGCCUGUACACGUUUGUGACCACUGGUCAUUUCAGGAGAUAGCGGAAGCUACUAGCUGAUGCAGUGUGUUAUCGCUGUCACCUGGAUGAUAUUUUGGUGGUAUUGUGAGAAAGCAAUCAAAACUGAACAAAGUUCUCUCCAUCAUGGCGAAUCCUUCUCUCCCACUUCAUCCCUCACUACUGAGGCAACAGAGCUCAUUCUCCCUCAGACAGGUGAAUACACUGAUAAUAUUCCAUUGUGUAGUUUUCUAUCCAGGUGUGCUUUUAAUGCACUGGGAGUCCAUCUGGGAAGCCAUUGUCUGUCAGGUUCUUUCCAGAUGUAAUUUCAUGGUGGAUCUAAAUCUGAUGGUGCUUUUCUUUGUUCAUAACUCCAUUAAUUUUGACAUGAUCGCCAACACGACUGACUCAUAUGCAGCUCCAAAACAUGACAGUGCCUCCACUGUGUUUUACAGAUGCCAGAAAAUCCACAUUUGAUUUCUGCUCUCCACAAGACCAAAACAUCCAACUGGAAUUCAAUAUCAAGGAUGACAGAUGGGGUUUACACACCUGAAUGUAUAUACUGAGGGAGAGGAACGUACUGAUUUUAUGCAUGUUUAUUUACUUUUGAAGAAAAAUGGUAACAAAAAGUAUUUCAGCAGUGUAACAUGUUAUAAAAGCAAUUACAAAACAAAGUUUAAUUUUAAGCAAACAAUAAAAAACACAAGAUAUAAAGCAAGCACACUGAACGAUUUAUAAUUAGUCAAUUUAGAAUACAGAUCAAACAACACACUUUAGUGAUUGAAUGCUUAAAAAAAAGCUGCCACACAAAAACCUAAAUAAAUUGAAAAGUACAACCAUCUGGGACACAGGUGUAUGAUAUAUGAUUUGAUAUGAUGUAUAGCUUUCCAAAAGCAGGGAACUCUGACUGUGUAAUGCUUUAACAAAGUAAUUCUCCAGCUUUCUCUGAAAUGUCCCCAGUUAUUCCCUACAGUAGUCCGUGCACCACCAGCUCCACAGUUUGAGAAGACUGUUUUAAUGUGUAGAGUAAAGACAUGUUGUCAAAUGGAAAGCAUUUUUGCUGGCUCUCACAAAUACCCCCUGUGUGCAUGUGUAAAUGAGAGAAAAGACAAGGCACAGUUUAUUCAUUAAUGCUGACUCUUUUCAAUAAACAAGUUUAGAGAUUUAAAGUUUAGAGUUAAAAAACAUGUACUAGUGUAACUA
Oreochromis niloticus (Nile tilapia) is the source of this 1632-nucleotide long non-coding RNA. RefSeq lists it as uncharacterized. The record is from RefSeq and is a predicted model, not a curated record. The transcript is spliced from 2 exons. Lineage: Eukaryota; Metazoa; Chordata; Actinopteri; Cichliformes; Cichlidae.